ACAGAGCCAGCUCCAUCCAAAAAAACAUUAUUCAAGGAUUAGACUGCCUUGGAAGUGGUUUCUGUGGGGAAGAGUGCCUAUAUCUGCAAAGCUUUACAGUGUUUCCAGGUAGGAGCAUGCUCAACAGUCCAACCAGUCUUCUGAAGCAGUGGGACACGUUCUGAAUCAUUGGCAGAAAGGCAACAGCUAAGGCAGCUCAAAACCAUCAAGACUCGCAAGCAGUAUGUACAGGUUGAAAAACAAUGUUCCUCAGAGCCUGGAUUCUGCUGGUUAAUGUCCAUGGAGCAGUCUGACGUACAGUGUUGUCUGAUGCGCUGGCACAAUACUACCCUUAGAGUAAACAGCUCUCUACUAAGGCCUACUCUACUAAGCUUCGCUUAGAGGCUUGAUUAUGUUCUUCACUUCUGCUAGGAAAGAAUGCUUCUGAAAAUAUCAGAGUUGCACUAAAUGAAACUGGGCUGUGUGAAAGGCAAUUGAACCCUGCACGGAGGAAGUCCCAGCCCAUUGCCUUACUGGUAUCACUAGAGCCUUAGACAAACGACAGCUCUUCUGGGACAGGCUGCCUGAAAACAUGAGUCUCAUGCCAGCAGGCCAAGGCCAAAAAUUUAGGUACCUUCUCUGUCUGUUAAAGGAGACAUAAUUUUCUCUUUCUCUUGCUCUUUCCCGCUUGUCUGUUUCUAUGACAGGGUUUUCAAGGAAAAAGUUCCUUUUGGCCUUGAGCACAACAGGUCCUUGUCUUUUCUUGGAAUAUAUAGGUACUAGUCAGGCCUGAAUAAUUACAUAUAGACCAUACAGAAGUCCACAGCACUCUAUUCUCUAAGAAAAAACAGCAAGUUCUCAUCAGAUGUAUUGCUCACCCACUUUAGUCCAUAUACUGUCAUGGAUGCCUGGAAGCAAAAUUGCAACCAAGAAAGCUGAAGGAAAGCCACAUAGUUUGGACAUACUCUUGAACUAGUGUAAAGUCUUAAUACAGUUUUGUUUAUCCCAUUACAGUGAUCUACCUCAGCUAUGAGUUUGAUCCUAUAACCAAGCAGUUUUCCAAUAAAUAACCUGGACCUCCUUAGGAAAAAAUACUAAUUGCUCUAGUCUGAAAACCAAUACCUUUAUUUUAAUACAUUUCUCUCUUGAGACACUUGGAUCCACAAUUUUUUUUCUUGUUAAUUGAGGGAGAAGAGAUGAAAGCAGGAAUGCUUGCCUUUUUGUUGCACAGAUCUGUCUAUCCCUUGCUGGUGGAAAAUACGGGGUGUGUCUGCUUUUCAGAAGUUCUAGAAAACCGUGGCUCCAUCUCUGCCCCUGUGGAUGCUCCUGUGUGUCCUACCCAUGACGAUAGGCUGGUGCCUGACUCAUACAAUUAUCUGAUCAGAAGACCUUCUGCAGCCACGAAGCCUUAGGCUGCAACCCUGUCAGCUCUCAUGAGCUAAGAAAGGCUGCUGUUCCAGGAGUUGCUUAUUUGCAGCUUCAGAUGAGCUGCUAUGCAGUUGAUUAACUGAGUGACCCAAAUCCAUCUGUCAGGGAGCUUAACAGCCAGAGCCAGCUACAACAAGGAACCAGUACAACGAUGGACGAAAACUGGUGACAGAGAUUUACUGCAGUAAGUGAGGCUGGUGCUAACUAAAACUUGUUUUCUAUCCCUGGGGUUCGUGUGGUCCAAUAGCAGGAGAAACAGAGAUGCCUAGAAGGCCUGCACUUCUCAUAGCACUGUCCAGCAACAGAGGAUGUCCUGAAUGAAUAAUAAGAGAAAAAAGGGGCUACAAUUCAAUACGUGUUGAAUUCACAGCUAAAUGGCAAAAGAGAAGCAGCGGGAAUCUACCUGUUUCUUCUCAAAAAGGAAUGUAACUUGCCUUUUUAGUUGAAAGCACAGAGGGAGUUUUUGUUUGCACCCAAAGGGAAACAUUCAUAAAGAUGGGGAAGUGUUUUGACCCAUUUAAUCAUGUGACAGUGGCAUUCAUGUGAGGAGCAAUAGCUCUUCAUCUCAAAAAUUUCCUCCCCAGGGGUCCAUGACCCAGGAAGGAAAUGUCCUCUGAAACGCUUUCCAUUUCUAGAGAUGCCAACCUAAAAGCUGUGCAAGGAUAACCUGAUUUCCCGAUCAUUUCUGUUAGGCUGUCAGGAGUACUCUUACCCUUCAGAACUUUUAUAUAUGCUUUUCAUUAGUUCAAGAACACUUCUGCUAGAGCUGGAGAAACUAUGAUUUUUUUUUUUUUUCACCCAUAACCUAUUGCUAAGCCUUAGUGAAUCCAUCACAAACAUAUGGAAAGUUUGGGGUUGCCUUUUUUUUUUCCCCCACCCAAUAUACCUCCUAUAUCUUAUUAAUAU
Long non-coding RNA from Athene cunicularia (burrowing owl), 2313 nucleotides. RefSeq lists it as uncharacterized. The transcript is spliced from 3 exons. Lineage: Eukaryota; Metazoa; Chordata; Aves; Strigiformes; Strigidae. The record is from RefSeq and is a predicted model, not a curated record.